ACAAUUACACAGAAUAGUAAAUAAACAAGGGAAUUAAUACAAAGAUAAAUAAAUAAAGACGCAAAAUAAAACAAAAAUAUAAAUUUAUGUCACAUUUUACCAAUUAAUUAAUGGCUACAUUUAUGUGUAUUAUUAUUUUUGCUCCAUUUAAUGACAUAUUUAUUAAUUCAUUUAUCAAGUCAUUUAUUUUUGAUUUUGGCAUGUUCCAUCCUCCAUACACUUAAACCUUUCAAUGUUUUCUGUGAAAGUAUUUUGGUGUUUUUGCAUUCUGAGCACGGCAAGCUGAGAAAAUCCCAACUGAACUAUCAACUAAAACAAUGGUCAGUUUAAUAUUACGACGACAACAAACAUAGCGUUUGGAGGAACAUUAAUGCGGCGCUUUGAGCUACAGGAAAGGUUGCAGAUCUGCCAGCGACACACUAUCAGCUUUCUUAAUAGAUUAGGCGGUGUGGACUGAUAAACCUGUAGAAACACAACUGACAGACGAGUGACAGGUAUCUAAAAACACUCCAGAAAUAAACCGUGUGCGUUGAUCAUCAUAGUUGUGUGAAAACACAAUCGCACUAACACACUACACAGAAUCUUUGGUUUCAUGUAGAAAGCUCAUUCCUGGGAUUCCUGUAUGACUGGCUGGAUGACUGGACAGUUUAGACAACCUGAGGCCCCACUGUCUAUUGUACUGCUUUAAGAGAGAGAGAGAGAGAGAGAGUGUGUGUGUGUGUGUGCAUCUGAUUAUGUUUCAGUAGCACAUAGAGAUAAAGCUGAACUGUCCUCUGUCUCUAGUCCUUCCCUCUCUGCAGCAGAGCAUCAAACUACAACAAGCUCAGUGGCCAAAAUACUGUAGCUUCUCGUUCCUGUUACCAACCACAUUUGACAUAUCUUUACACACCAAGUUACUUCUUCUUAACAGGUUAAAAUCUGGAAUCUUCUAACGUUAAAACAUGUUAAUCAAUUAUAUUAUGUCAUUACAAUGAUACUUUCCCCAUCUAAGUGGCAGCAAUGGUCCAUGUUAAGUCAUUUUAGUCAUUUACUCAUGUUCACGAAGGUCUGCAUGGACCGUCCACAUGUAGCCAUAACUUCAUGACCAUACGGGCUGAACACGCCAACAGACAUUGGUGAAUAAGGGGCCGUACACAUGUCACGUCUAAAAACGCGUGGAAAACGCAAGCUGUGCCGUUUUUUUUUUUCCUUUCCAAUAUGCUUGGGGGGGUUGCACUCUUGUUGCGCCUGCCGCAACCAACCAGCGUGCUGCGAUGACGAUGAUGAUGAAGUUGCGGUAAUUUAGCAGUAAGCCUCACUGACUAAACUGAACACAAUAAUCCGUAAAUCCCUCGCAGUAGCUUUACUGCUCGAUUUCCCUGUGUCAGUUUGGCUCACCUUUCAACUGGAUGUUGUGAUCUCCUCGGCCAGAAAGGGUGAAGCAAGUAAAAUAGUUUGUGGGACCGAUUGUAAAGCUCUGGAUAGUCCUGCACUAAUAUUAUUAACUUCUCCUCCAUAUACUGUGAUUGGUUGUUCCUUGUCACAUGACAUGCUGUGCGUGCUGCAGCAUUCCAAAAGUUGAACUAUUUUUAUCUUGGGGCGCACCCAUCGCGCACUGAAAAAUAGGCGCUUGGGAGCGCUUGCGUGCCGCCGCGACAUGGCUCUCGCGUUUGAGUGCACCUGUUGCAGGUCUACAUUGACAACAAUGGAUUUGAGCGUGCAAAAGACGCGGCAUAUGUACCGUCUCUAACACAUUUGCCUAUGCUGACAAUCGAUGCAGAAUGUCUGCGUCGGAUUAUAUCCAGUCCUUGAUGUUUCCAAUGCCAUUGGCUGGCACUACAGGUGAAAAUAUUUUUUGUGUGUGAACGCCAGUUGACAAUGAUUCUCUGCAUCAGAUGAAGUGAGUAGAAAGGCUGAGAGACAAAGAGGUGGAGGGAGAGACACUGCUGAUGAACUCACAAGGACACAGGAGACGGCAGCACAGAGGACACAUCCUUCAUGUCCUUUGAGAAACCAUAGAAUGGCACCGGGGAGAAGACGGAUCUGAACCAAGCAAAGCAGCAACAUCUGGAGAGCGUCCAGAGAUUUAAUAAUCCUGUUUACAGCCUGAAGCUCAUUCUGUUCUUCUCUGCAGCAGAGUCCUGAUCCACACUGAUCAUAAGCCAAAUACACUGAAACGGACCUGCGGCAGCCUCUUUGUGUGUGUCUGUGGAGGGGGACACAUCAGACACUGGUGGUACACAGUCCCCAGGUGUGAAUGCGCAUGAGGACCAGUCAGAUAAAAGCCUCCAUUAUUACAGCAGAUGAAGGAAAACACAGAUUUUAGAGCACUGUCCCUUUAAUGUUUGUGCUUUUCAUGACACUAUUGUGUCCAGUAGGGGUUUUCUAUAGUAGGGGAGGUAGUCACGCUGCAGUCAUGCCAAGUAGUUUAUCUCAAUAACAUGAUGAAGGCGUGUUAGUCACAAACCACAGAAAGAGCUUGUUGCCUGCAGUCCUUUCCAGCUCACUGUGGCUGCUACUGUUUCUAUUAUUCCUUCCUGCAAUAUUUAAAACUCACCCACUGACCAAAUAGUAGGGAUGGGAAAAAAGGAUUACUGAAUUGAUUUUUUUUAAUGCCAGAAUCGAUAUAUUUGCUUCAUUUGCGUCUAUGUGGAGCUAGAAGGAAGUUAACACUUUUCUUGUUGUAGUCUGAGUAACGUGACGACAUAUCCUUUAUUGUGGUAUUC
Molecule: long non-coding RNA, 2705 nt
Organism: Sebastes umbrosus (honeycomb rockfish)
Lineage: Eukaryota; Metazoa; Chordata; Actinopteri; Perciformes; Sebastidae
Exons: 3
Source: RefSeq, a predicted model, not a curated record